This 262-nucleotide ribosomal RNA is filed under the name uncultured prokaryote. RNAcentral describes it as "partial 16S ribosomal RNA". It matches the Rfam family "Bacterial small subunit ribosomal RNA", at positions 524 to 784 of the family's 1533-position model. The record is from RNAcentral.
UUCAGAGGUCUCCGAGCGUUGUUCGGAUUUACUGGGCGUAAAGGGAGCGCAGGCGGCCGGGUGUGUCGAAUGUGAAAGCCCACAACUCAACUGUGGAAUGGCAUUCGAAACUACCUGGCUAGAGUACUGGAGAGGAGAGCGGAAUUCUUGGUGUAGCGGUGAAAUGCGUAGAUAUCAAGAGGAACACCGGUGGCGAAGGCGGCUCUCUGGACAGAUACUGACGCUGAGGCUCUAAAGUUAGGGGAGUAAACAGGAUUAGAUA